This 253-nucleotide ribosomal RNA is filed under the name uncultured bacterium. RNAcentral's name for it is "partial 16S ribosomal RNA". It matches the Rfam family "Bacterial small subunit ribosomal RNA", at positions 524 to 776 of the family's 1533-position model. The record is from RNAcentral.
UACGAAUGGAGCAAGCGUUGUUCGGAAUAACUGGGCUUAAAGCGUAUGUAGGCGGACCAGAAAGUCAGAAGUGAAAUCCCGAGGCUCAACCUCGGAACUGCUUUUGAAACUCCUGGUCUAGAAUACUGGAGAGGUUGGGAGAAUUCCUAGUGUAGAGGUGAAAUUCGCAGAUAUUAGGAGGAAUACCAGUGGCGUAGGCGCCCAACUGGACAGUUAUUGACGCUCAGAUACGAAAGCGUGGGGAGCAAACAGG